CCUAACGUGGAUUAGAUACCCGGGUAGUCCACGCCGUAAACGAUGGAUGCUAGUCGUGGGGGGUAUCGACCCCCUCUGUGACGCAGCUAACGCAAUAAGCAUCCCGCCUGGGGAGUACGGCCGCAAGGCUAAAACUCAAAGGAAUUGACGGGGGCCCGCACAAGCAGCGGAGCGUGUGGUUCAAUUCGAUGCAACGCGAA
Molecule: ribosomal RNA, 200 nt
Filed under: uncultured Pseudomonadota bacterium
Lineage: Bacteria; Pseudomonadati; Pseudomonadota
Description: uncultured proteobacterium partial 16S ribosomal RNA
Rfam family: Bacterial small subunit ribosomal RNA
Source: RNAcentral